RNAcentral lists this ribosomal RNA (484 nucleotides) under uncultured bacterium. RNAcentral describes it as "partial 16S ribosomal RNA". It matches the Rfam family "Bacterial small subunit ribosomal RNA", at positions 29 to 507 of the family's 1533-position model. The record is from RNAcentral.
CUUUAACUCUGGCGGCAUGCUUUACACAUGCAAGUCGAACGGCAGCGCGGGCUUCGGCCUGGCGGCGAGUGGCGAACGGGUGAGUAAUACAUCGGAACGUGCCCAGUAGUGGGGGAUAGCUCGGCGAAAGCCGGAUUAAUACCGCAUACGACCUGAGGGUGAAAGCGGGGGAUCUUCGGACCUCGCGCUAUUGGAGCGGCCGAUGGCAGAUUAGCUAGUUGGUGGGGUAAAGGCCUACCAAGGCGACGAUCGGUAGCUGGUCUGAGAGGACGACCAGCCACGCUGGGACUGAGCCACGGCCCAGACUCCUACGGGAGGCAGCAGUGGGGAAUUUUGGACAAUGGGCGAAAGCCUGAUCCAGCAAUGCCGCGUGUGUGAUGAAGGCCUUCGGGUUGUAAAGCACUUUUGGCGGGAACGAAAAGGACUGUGCCAAUACCACGGUUCGAUGACGGUACCCGCAGAAUAAGCACCGGCUAACUACGUG